UACAGAGGGUGCAAGCGUUAAUCGGAAUUACUGGGCGUAAAGCGUGCGUAGACGGUUAUGUAAGUCAGAUGUGAAAGCCCCGGGCUUAACCUGGGAAUGGCAUUUGAGACUGCAUAGCUAGGGUGCGGAAGAGGGAAGCGGAAUUUCCGGUGUAGCGGUGAAAUGCGUAGAUAUCGGAAGGAACACCAGUGGCGAAGGCGGCGAUCUGGGAAGAUACUGACGCUGAGGUGCGAAAGCGUGGGGAGCAAACAGG
Molecule: ribosomal RNA, 253 nt
Filed under: uncultured bacterium
Lineage: Bacteria
Description: partial 16S ribosomal RNA
Rfam family: Bacterial small subunit ribosomal RNA
Source: RNAcentral